AUGCUAUGCUUAUGUGAUUUGGGUGCUAGUGUUUCCACGAUUCCAAAAACUUUGUGUGAUGUGUUAGGUUUCCGUGAAUUUGAUGAUUGUUCUUUUAACUUACAUCUUCAGGAUUCCACCAUCAAGAAACCUAUGGGAAGGAUUAAUGAUCUUAUUGUUGCAAAUAGGAAUUAUGUGCUUGUAGAUUUCAUUGUUCUUGAUAUAGAUUGCAAUCCUACUUGUCCUAUUAUUCUUGGUAGACCUUUCCUUAGAACGAUUGGUGCCAUUAUUGAUAUGAAAGAAGGAAAUAUUAGAUUCCAAUUUACAUUAAGGAAGGGCAUGGAUCACUUCCCUAGAUAG
Molecule: ribosomal RNA, 339 nt
Filed under: Triticum aestivum (bread wheat)
Lineage: Eukaryota; Viridiplantae; Streptophyta; Magnoliopsida; Poales; Poaceae
Description: partial small subunit ribosomal RNA
Source: RNAcentral